RNAcentral lists this ribosomal RNA (405 nucleotides) under uncultured bacterium. RNAcentral's name for it is "partial 16S ribosomal RNA". It matches the Rfam family "Bacterial small subunit ribosomal RNA", at positions 30 to 526 of the family's 1533-position model. The record is from RNAcentral.
AUUGAACGCUGGCGGCAGGCUUAACACAUGCAAGUCGCACGAGUGGCGGACGGGUGAGUAAUGCUUGGGACUCUAGCUUAUGGAGGGGGAUAACUACGGGAAACUGUAGCUAAUACCGCGUACCAUAGGAUGAGCCCAAGUGGGAUUAGGUAGUUGGUGAGGUAAAGGCUCACCAAGCCGACGAUCUCUAGCUGGUCUGGGAGGAUGAACAGCCAACACGGGACUGAGAAAAGGUCCCGACUCCCACGGGAGGUAGGAAUGGGGAAUAUUGCGGAAUGGGGUGAAACUGACGGAGGCAUGCCGCGUUAAUGAAGAAGGGCUUUGGGGUUGAAAGUUCUUUCGGUAGCGAGGCGUUAACUACAGAAGAAGCACCGGCUAACUCCGUGCCAGCAGCCGCGGUAAUAC